UACGGGGGGUGCGAGCGUUGUCCGGAAUCACUGGGCGUAAAGGGCGCGUAGGUGGCCUGAUAAGGGUGUGGUGAAAGUCCGGGGCUUAACCCCGGAUCUGCCGUGCCGACUGUUAGGCUAGAGUGCUGUAGGGGCAGGCGGAAUUCCGGGUGUAGCGGUGGAAUGCGUAGAGAUCCGGAAGAACACCGGAGGCGAAGGCGGCUUGCUGGACCUGGUCUGACGCUGAGGCGCGAAAGCGUGGGGAGCGAACAGG
Molecule: ribosomal RNA, 253 nt
Filed under: uncultured bacterium
Lineage: Bacteria
Description: partial 16S ribosomal RNA
Rfam family: Bacterial small subunit ribosomal RNA
Source: RNAcentral